This 31-nucleotide non-coding RNA is filed under the name Homo sapiens (human). Lineage: Eukaryota; Metazoa; Chordata; Mammalia; Primates; Hominidae. The record is from RNAcentral.
UUUAAAGAGCCAAGGUCCCGCUAUGUUGCCC